This 253-nucleotide ribosomal RNA is filed under the name uncultured bacterium. RNAcentral's name for it is "partial 16S ribosomal RNA". It matches the Rfam family "Bacterial small subunit ribosomal RNA", at positions 524 to 776 of the family's 1533-position model. The record is from RNAcentral.
UACAGAGGGUGCAAACGUUGCUCGGAAUCAUUGGGCGUAAAGCGCACGUAGGCGGUCUUGUAAGUCAGGAGUGAAAGCCCUCGGCUUAACCGGGGAAGUGCUUUUGAAACUGCAAGACUUGAAUACUGGAGAGGAUCGCGGAAUUCCCGGUGUAGAGGUGAAAUGCGUAGAUAUCGGAAGGAACAUCAGUGGCGAAAGCGACUUCCUGGACCAAUACUGACGCUCAUGUGCGAAAGCGUGGGGAGCAAACAGG